This 455-nucleotide unclassified non-coding RNA is filed under the name Hevea brasiliensis (rubber tree). The record is from RNAcentral. Lineage: Eukaryota; Viridiplantae; Streptophyta; Magnoliopsida; Malpighiales; Euphorbiaceae.
UUCAAUCCUCGCAAGCCUCGCGGCAAAUCAGACCCGUUUUCCAGCGGACUCGAGCCGGUCUCCAUCAACACACGGUCCCUGAUAUCAGGAGACCAGGGCCGGUAAUCGACUCUCCGUCUUUUACGGAGAUUUUCGGGUUUUGCCGAUUGGAUUGUGGCUGAUUUGAGUGUGGCGGUUUGGGAUAAGACCACCGCGGCAUCGAAAUCCCGGUCGUAGACCUGAUCGCGGCACGCACAGCAGAAGAUCUCCGCGCGAUCAACGUCCACCGCGAUCUCAUGGCCUGGAGGCAUGGAAGUGGCAUGCGCAGCCGCGUGGGAUGGUCCGGGAGGCGCGUGGCAAGAGAUAGCCGCGCAUGCCAAGCAAGCGUAAAGCCGGGGCCGCGCAGACUCUCCGCACGCGCCGCAGCGAGGAACCUCGGAGGGGUCCCGGCGUAUAGCUGCCCGUCCGCCCGGUGG